Molecule: ribosomal RNA, 427 nt
Filed under: uncultured bacterium
Lineage: Bacteria
Description: bacterial SSU rRNA
Rfam family: Bacterial small subunit ribosomal RNA
Source: RNAcentral
GUGGGGAAUAUUGCGCAAUGGGCGAAAGCCUGACGCAGCGACGCCGCGUGUGGGAUGAAGGUCUUCGGAUUGUAAACCACUGUCGGGAGGGACGAAGCUCUGACGGUACCUCCAAAGGAAGCACCGGCUAACUCUGUGCCAGCAGCCGCGGUAAUACAGAGGGUGCAAGCGUUGUCCGGAAUCACUGGGCGUAAAGGGCGCGUAGGCGGCCCGGUAAGUAGGGGGUGAAAUUCUGCGGCUUAACCGCAGGACUGCCUCCUAAACUGCCAGGCUUGAGCACGGUAGAGGCUGGUGGAAUUCCCGGUGUAGCGGUGGAAUGCGUAGAGAUCGGGAAGAACAUCGGUGGCGAAGGCGGCCAGCUGGGCCGUUGCUGACGCUGAGGCGCGACAGCGUGGGGAGCAAACAGGAUUAGAAACCCUAGUAGUCC